RNAcentral lists this ribosomal RNA (301 nucleotides) under Pseudoripersia turgipes. RNAcentral's name for it is "partial 28S large subunit ribosomal RNA". The record is from RNAcentral. Lineage: Eukaryota; Metazoa; Arthropoda; Insecta; Hemiptera; Pseudococcidae.
AAACGGACAGAGCCCGUGAAUCCGGGCGACGGAAUUCAGAAUCGACGGCGUUCGCGCGUCGUCGGUUCGAUAUUUCCGUCGCCGCGCAACAAUGGACGUCGCGACCCGUUCGGUGUCGGUCCGAGGAGACGUGUAAAAGUUCUUUGGCGCGUCGUCGAACCGUUUCGGCGGUUAGGCGCGCGCGUCGGCGAGUACGCGUCUUUCUGGCCGACUCGCCGGACGGUAUACGUAACGGUGGCCGCGGCGACCUUUAAGAUUUUUCUAGCGUCGUCGUUUCGGUGCCGGUCUGCGACGAAUCUUC